GUGAACUUGUGAUAAUAAUGAGAGUAAUUUAGGGUUUAAAAAUGGGGAGUUGUCGCUAGUAUUACUAGCGAGCAAUGACUCGGCCCAUAAUCUUUAUCAACUCUUUACUAUUUGACUUAAUAUCAAGUAAAAUAAUCCAAAUUUAGGGUUAAAAAAGUUUUAAAUAACUUUCAACAAGGGAUCUCUUGGUUCUCGCAUCGAUGAAGAACGCAGCGAAAUGCGAUACGUAAUGUGAAUUGCAGAUUUGGUGAAUCAUAGAAUCUUUGAACGCAUAUGGCAUUCUUAGGUAUUCCGAAGAGUAUGCUUGUUUCAGUAUCACGAAAAUCUCACAAAUUGAAAUUUUUUCAAAUGGUGGACUGGGAUUUGGGAUUACUCAAGUAAUUGUUAAUCUGAAAUGGAUUUCAGGAAGCUAAACUUGCUUUUUAUCUUUGCUUAAUAGUUUUGCUUUGCAAAUCUUUUCCAUGGAUUAAAAAGCCAAAAAGUGAAUUGAUUUUUACGAACUCAAAUCUCA
RNAcentral lists this ribosomal RNA (511 nucleotides) under Mucoromycotina sp. CM14_P83. RNAcentral's name for it is "eukaryotic LSU rRNA". The stretch from base 166 to 318 matches the Rfam family "5.8S ribosomal RNA". The record is from RNAcentral. Lineage: Eukaryota; Fungi; Mucoromycota.